AUUUGAUCUCAAAUAAGGUAGGACUACCCGCUGAACUUAAGCAUA
This 45-nucleotide ribosomal RNA is filed under the name Tomentella sp. BP96972. Its description in RNAcentral is "partial 28S ribosomal RNA". Lineage: Eukaryota; Fungi; Basidiomycota; Agaricomycetes; Thelephorales; Thelephoraceae. The record is from RNAcentral.